UACAGAGGGUGCGAGCGUUAAUCGGAAUUACUGGGCGUAAAGGGUGCGUAGGUGGCAUAUUAAGUCAGAUGUGAAAUCCCCGGGCUUAACCUGGGAAUUGCAUAUGAUACUGGUAAGCUAGAGUGUGGAAGAGGGAAGUGGAAUUUCCGGUGUAGCGGUGAAAUGCGUAGAUAUCGGAAGGAACAUCAGUGGCGAAGGCGACUUCCUGGUCCAUUACUGACACUGAGGCACGAAAGCGUGGGGAGCAAACAGG
This 253-nucleotide ribosomal RNA is filed under the name uncultured bacterium. RNAcentral describes it as "partial 16S ribosomal RNA". It matches the Rfam family "Bacterial small subunit ribosomal RNA", at positions 524 to 776 of the family's 1533-position model. The record is from RNAcentral.